Molecule: ribozyme, 116 nt
Filed under: Aedes aegypti (yellow fever mosquito)
Lineage: Eukaryota; Metazoa; Arthropoda; Insecta; Diptera; Culicidae
Description: drz-agam-1 ribozyme
Rfam family: drz-agam-1 ribozyme
Source: Rfam by way of RNAcentral
UGCCCAGCAACUCCUAUCCCUACCUCCUCAUGGUACUGACCGAGGUACAAGUAACCUUGGGAAAGAUCGGGUAACCAAUCCCAGUGGGAACUUUGGUCGUAUGCUGACAGGGAAGG